This is a long non-coding RNA of Aptenodytes forsteri (emperor penguin), 627 nucleotides long. RefSeq lists it as uncharacterized. The record is from RefSeq and is a predicted model, not a curated record. The transcript is spliced from 3 exons. NCBI's taxonomy places the organism in Eukaryota, Metazoa, Chordata, Aves, Sphenisciformes, Spheniscidae.
GGAGGUGUCGGUGCGAGCAUUUCUUUUGGGAAGAGGCGUUUGACAGAACACAAGCUGAGCAAAAUACUGCCGGACUGAAGGUGGCCAUGGGUCCUCUGCAGUAUUCGAAGACACAUCUGCUUGGCUUCACUUGAGAGAUGGCCUUUAGAAGCAAUCUGCUCUAACAAUAACAUUUUCCAUCCAUCCCAGCUGAACUGCGCACAGCACGUAGGCUUCUUCCGAGAGCGAGCAUAAUUAGUGAACAAGGAAACUACAUGACAGCUAAAAGGAAGAUUUAGAACUCAUUACAAAAUAGAGCCUAAACAUUAAUUUUGAACAUAUGCAAGCAGACAACACAGAUGUCAUCAGGAAUGAAUCUGAGGCUUCAGCAUCUAAAUUUCAUCCACCCGGCUGGACGGCUGAGCACGCUGCCACGGAUGGCAAGUGGGAACGAGUAAGGGCAUGUGCGCACUGAUUGGAAAGGGAGGCUUUAGCUGUGUAACUCAGCAGUGCUUUGGAUGUUCUGCCCCGCUGAUGCACAGCCCAAGAUAACAAAUAAAUGUCGAGGAAGACUAUCAGUAUUUAAUGUAACAAGGAAGAAAGGAGGCAAGUAUUUAAAAGACGAGUAGAUGAGGCACUUAGGGACAU